Molecule: ribosomal RNA, 370 nt
Filed under: uncultured organism
Description: partial 16S ribosomal RNA
Rfam family: Bacterial small subunit ribosomal RNA
Source: RNAcentral
GGAGGGUGCGAGCGUUAAUCGGAAUUACUGGGCGUAAAGCGCGCGUAGGCGGUCUGAUCAGUCGGAUGUGAAAGCCCUGGGCUUAACCUGGGAAUUGCAUUCGAUACUGUCAGGCUAGAGUAUGGGAGAGGGAAGUGGAAUUUCCGGUGUAGCGGUGAAAUGCGUAGAUAUCGGAAGGAACACCAGUGGCGAAGGCGACUUCUUGGCCCAAUACUGACGCUGAGGUGCGAAAGCGUGGGUAGCGAACAGGAUUAGAUACCCUGGUAGUCCACGCCGUAAACGAUGAGAACUAGAUGUCGGGAGGAUUUACCUCUCGGUGUCGCAGCUAACGCGUUAAGUUCUCCGCCUGGGGAGUACGCCGGCAACGGUA